This 3112-nucleotide long non-coding RNA is filed under the name Nicotiana benthamiana. RNAcentral's name for it is "long non-coding RNA (NBEN_LNC032313)". The record is from RNAcentral. Lineage: Eukaryota; Viridiplantae; Streptophyta; Magnoliopsida; Solanales; Solanaceae.
AGAGAACAACUACUGCAAACUCUCGCACGUCCCGCCCGAUGUUGCCUCGCUCUUCACUUCCAAACUCCGCAAGCUCGCCUCGUCCGCCGCGACUAAUAACUGAAAAUUGCACACACAAGUGCCACCCCCAAAAGGAGGGGGCAUGCCUGACCCGGGAAAGAGGAGGGGGCUGCUUCUAUCUAGGAAUCCUCUAGAAAACCCCAAUGACAAAAUCUCUCAACUUUGCCCUUCCUCACCCGAAAUUUUCACUUUUUCAGAAAAUCUUUCCAUCUCCGGUUCCUCUUUUGCUUUGCUUUCGUCAUAGCUUCACCAAAAUGGUGAAAUGGUCAGCCAUGGAGAUUUCCUCUCAAACGGAUCUUUUGGAGUCUAAAGCAAUCCGUAAAUCCCCUUUAUGUUUGAUUUCAAAUUUUAAAUCCCAAAGUUUCAGCCUCCUCCUAAAACCUUAAGCUCAGAGCCGCCCCUUUACCCCCCUAAACCAAGCUUCAGCCGCCACUUCUAACCCUCAAACCAACUGCUCUUUGCUUGCUUUUUACUGCUUAAGAAUAUUUUCUAAAAGUCUUAUUUUUUCUCCUUUGGUACUUUUCAAUUUUUUUUGGUUUUUCUUUAACUAAUACAGAGCUGCUACUUUUCAUUUAUUCUUUUGUUUAUGUUCAAGGAGUAAAGUCGAGGUCGAAAUUCUGAUAGAGGAUCGAAGACCCCAGUCCGCUGCCCUAAAAUAGGUCAGUGAUAUUUUUUCUUUCUUUCUUUUCUCUUUCGAUUCUGAAGUUCAAGACAAAUUCAUGUUUUAGUACGUUUGAUAAUCUACUGUGAGUUUUUCCCUUUUAAUUUUCUCUUUAUGCUUCAGAUAUCUUAAAAAUAAAUAUUCGGCACAUGUUUGGUAGAUCAUUAUGUUAAGAUGAUAUUCUGUGAUUCCUGGAUUUUAUUAAAAGUUAUAUGCUAAGCGUUUUCUUUAUCUACAUAUAUGUUGUCUACGUCAUGUUCAGGACUCAUUUUCGUUUAGAAAAUCAUGUUUACUGAAAGUUUUGUUCUGCUCAUAGGCUAGUCAAAUGACUUGUUUAUAGAUACCAUACUACAACAACAACCCGUAUAAUCCCACUUAAUAAGGUCUAAAAGGGUAGUGUGUAUGCAGACCUUACCCAUACCCUUGGGUAGAGAGGCUGUUUCCAAAUAGACUCCGGCAUCCUUCCGUUCAAGAACUUCCCAUCUUGCUCUUGGGGAGACUCGAACUCACAACCUCUCGAUUAGAAGUGGGGAGACUCGAACUCACAACCUCUCGAUUAGAAGUGGGGGUUGCUUACCAUCAGAGCAACCCUUCUUCUCUAUAGAUACCAUAUUACAUGUCCCAAUAUUUAGCAAAGAGUUUUUAAGAGACCAUUCUUUUGACAGAGUUCAUGUCCAAUUACCACAAGUAUGCGAAAUCCUUUAUGCCAAAAUACUGUUUUGUUUUUCGUCUUUUAAAGAGUAUGAUAAUUUCGUGAUAAUCUAAAUAUUAUACGUAGGUUUUCUUUGAAUAAUAAUAGAUUUCAAAAACAGUAGAUCAUUGGCUUCGAAUAAUAUAAAAUGCUCUGUAGUUUAUUAUUCGGAUUCAUUGAACCGUAGAGAAGUGUGCCUAUAGUUUUGAACUAAUUAGUAACUCAUUCUUUGAUCUUGAACUAUGGAAAUAGUCUAAUAUUUAUCACUAAGUGCUGAAUGGAUAUUGUUGGGUUGUUAACAUAUUAUUAGUUUGUAUCUUUCAUCGUAAUCACGACUACAAAACGAGUUGCUGUCCUAUUUGAUAACUUUGUUGUUUUAACAUGAAUAUGCAUCUGAUAUUUAGCAUAGCACAUCAAAAAUUCUAUCUUUAGGAAGACAACCCAUAUUUGUCGUUGGUUUAUCUGCUGGCCGUCCACUAGUACGGCAAGUUGUCUAGGCAUAGCAUGUUCCAAAUUCACAUGUUGCUAAGUGCUAAACUUAAAGUAGCGAGAAAAAGAUUGGAGACAAUUGUGGACUAUAAUAGGGAUGUAUUUUGGGAGUUUGUAUUGAAAAGAGAUAGGCAAUUUGUUGAAUCCGAGGAACCUAAAUGGAUAUACAUUCAUAAAAGUCAGUCACCUGUUAAAUGUAUUCUUGGCGAAAUGUUUUAUUUUUCUUUGGCUAUUACUCUUUCUCGUUUUGCUAACUCUUGGAAUCUGGAUCAAACCCACCAUGUGUGUUAAGGCUCAAAUUGAAUGGUCAUUCCAAACUAAUAUGGCAUACGAGAAAGUGCUUAGAUACAAAAAAUCAGAAGCUCCCAAAAGUUGAGAGAGAUCUCAUAAGAUAAUAGUCAUAAAUUGGGAAAAUGACUUAAGGGACAGUGGCAUAAGAUUAUCCUCAACUUAAGGCGCACCUACUCUUACUAGAAGUCUAGUGUCUCUCAGGUCCAGUUUCGAUCUCUUUGUGCUCGUGUUGCAUAUUAUUUGGAAUCUUUGUGUGAAAUUUGUGCCUACUAUGGGAAAAUAUGUGAGACAAUUAGGAUUUCUGAGUUAUGCGCAUGUGAUAUAUAUGUACGAUGGAUCGUCCGGCGUGAUUCUUUACUUUAAAGUGUGAGCAUUCUAUUUUAGUAUGUUGAUUAAACUCUUAAAGUUAUUUUUCUAAUUCUUGUUUUAUUCUCUCUUUCGCAUAUGCGCCAUUAGCAAAAUGGAGUCUCACCGAAGCUCAACAUCACCCCAGCGUGGAGUUAUCGCACCCCGUAUCAUCUUUUUUUAGAAUGUAUCAAAUAGCAAGAAAACGAGCGAAACGCUUGGGAUGCCUAUCACAUUCUUAUUCUUCAUCUAUUAUGUGUUCUAUUUUAUUGCUAUGAUUGCUAACUAACUUGUGUUUUGGAAUUUAUCUCAAGUGUGGGUUCAUGUUUAAUGUAAAUUUAAUAAUGGAAUCAUUUAAUCAUCAAGAUUUUGCCUCUAGGUAGCAAUACAGGUACCUAUUAUAAAGAUUUUUAUAUUUGUUGUUUAACUAGUGCUAUCACUUUUAUAUGAUCUCGUAAGCAUCCGUUCUUUAAUCCCCAAACCCAACUGAUUCCUUAGUUUACAUUUUUUUGGUUUAUGUUUUUUUUUACAUGUUUGAAUAUUUAAAUCUUUAAUGAUAGUGUAUACUAAGUUUU